CAGUUGUGUUCGAUCCUGCUAGUUUUUAUGGACAUUCAGAAUAUGAUCUUGCCAUUGCUCAAAUGUUCGGUGGAUUCAGCGAGCGUUUCUUCCAGUCCUAUUUCAAAAUACUACCGAAACAGCCAGGUUACUCCGACAGACUAGAACUCUACAAAUUGUUCCACUAUCUAAACCACUGGAAUCACUUUGGGUCUGGCUACAGAGGAUCGAGUAUAUCUAUCAUGAAGAAGCUUGUGAAGUGAUAAAACCAUUAAUCAGUAUUUCUCAAAGUAUUGAACUCUGUGUUCAUCUAAUGCCAUGCAUGAAGAAUAUAAUUAUUCUUACCGGUGUACCUAAUGUAAAUGAUAAUCUGAAAAGAAAUGGAAAAUAUUGACUGAUUAAAACAUGUGACAAAAAGAAAUUAAAAUCCAUUGUUUCAAUAAGACCUACUUAAAAGCAACGAAAUCUUACAUUGCAAAAUACAUAUUUUUUUAUAUUUCAAUCUCAGUAAGAUAAACAAAAUGCUGACUCUCUCUGACCUCUGACUAUCCCAGUUGAUAUAAAAAAGUUCUUAUGUAGAGUGGAUUUUGAUGAAUGGUUGGGAAUGUGACGUGCAACUUCAACAGAUUAUGUAGGAUACAUUGUUAUGUGGUGCUGUCAAAAGCUUAGGUUGGUUUUUUCGAAAGACAUUUUUUUUUGUAAAAAACACAUUUUCAUUUCUUUACAUAUCUUCACAUGCCCGAUCAUUGUUAGAACAACGCAGUGAUAAUAACCUUUAGAAGCACAGGUAUUUGGCACGAAUAACCAAAUCAAGGUCCGUAUAUAUGUAUUUAUUAUUUAUAUAUUUGUGACAAGUCCCUGUGUUGGAACUAGCUGUUAUAACCCCACCAUUCUGGUUUUCUUCUUGGUUUUAUAUUUACCUGUUUGUUAAAAGCACUCUAUAUUUAGUUUGCUGUCCUUGGAAUCGUUAUGUCAAUCUACAAUGGUAUAAUGCUGUCACGUUAAGUUUAUAAUAACGGUGAUGUUGUACUAAUGUGUAUGAUAAGUAUGUGCUAUGUAGGAGCUAUGUAACCUAUUAUGUCUAGAUUAUUAUAUUACCGCUAUGUAAAACUAAAAUCAUGUAGGAUUAUGUACAACUAUUAUCAUGUCUAAAGGGCUAUGUUGAAGGUGUGCAUGACUAGUAUACCUAUAGUGCUAUCUGAAGUUAACUAGGAUGUCUUAUGUGCUAUAUAUUGAAGUAAUGUAGGAUUAUAUGUCUAAAGUGUUAUAUUGAAGUAAUGUAGGAUUAUAUGUCUAAAGUGUUAUAUGUUGAACUUAUGUAUGACUAGUAUGCCUUUAGUGCUAUGUGAAGUUAUGAAGGAUUGUAUGUCUAAAGUGAUAUUUUGAAGUAAUGUAGGAUUGUAUAUCCAAAGUGUUAUAUGUUAAAGUUAUCAAAUAAUAAAAGCACAUGAAUAGGAUCUCGCAUCACAGAUAUAUCCCCGCCCCUCGUCAAUAACACAUAUCUUUGGCAGGGGGUUCAUGAGCUACCUUUUGCAAGAGCUUUUUCAUUUUGAAUUUGGCCAAGUGCGCCAUUUAACAUUGAUUCAAGGCCGAAUAGAACUUGAUGUUGUGAUGCAUUUGUGUGAAUAUGAACCAAAUACAAAAUCGCGAAUGAUGCAUAGGCGCGUGAUUGAAAUUACUUAUUAAAUGUGUAGUGCUUUACAUACA
This is a long non-coding RNA of Pecten maximus, 1686 nucleotides long. RefSeq lists it as uncharacterized. NCBI's taxonomy places the organism in Eukaryota, Metazoa, Mollusca, Bivalvia, Pectinida, Pectinidae. The transcript has 2 exons. The record is from RefSeq and is a predicted model, not a curated record.